Molecule: ribosomal RNA, 398 nt
Filed under: uncultured bacterium
Lineage: Bacteria
Description: bacterial SSU rRNA
Rfam family: Bacterial small subunit ribosomal RNA
Source: RNAcentral
UGGGGAAUAUUGCACAAUGGGGGAAACCCUGAUGCAGCGACGCCGCGUGGAGGAAGAAGGUCUUCGGAUUGUAAACUCCUGUUGUUGAGGAAGAUAAUGACGGUACUCAACAAGGAAGUGACGGCUAACUACGUGCCAGCAGCCGCGGUAAAACGUAGGUCACAAGCGUUGUCCGGAAUUACUGGGUGUAAAGGGAGCGCAGGCGGGAGAACAAGUUGGAAGUGAAAUCCAUGGGCUCAACCCAUGAACUGCUUUCAAAACUGUUUUUCUUGAGUAGUGCAGAGGUAGGCGGAAUUCCCGGUGUAGCGGUGGAAUGCGUAGAUAUCGGGAGGAACACCAGUGGCGAAAGGCGGCCUACUGGGCACCAACUGACGCUGAGGCUCGAAAGUGUGGGUAGC